This 380-nucleotide ribosomal RNA is filed under the name uncultured eukaryote. RNAcentral's name for it is "partial 18S ribosomal RNA". It matches the Rfam family "Eukaryotic small subunit ribosomal RNA", at positions 592 to 976 of the family's 1831-position model. The record is from RNAcentral.
CAAUAGCGUAUAUUAAAGUUGUUGCGGUUAAAAAGCUCGUAGUUGGAUUUCUGUUGAGGACGGCCGGUCCGCACUAUGUGCGUGUAUCUGGUUCGGCCUCGGCAUCCUCUCGAAAGCCGUUUCUGCGCUUGUUUGCGUGGUUCGGACUUCGGGACUUUUACUUUGAGGAAAUUAGAGUGUUCACGGCAGGCAAGCGCCUUGAAUAUAUUAGCAUGGAAUAAUAAUAUAGGAUCUUGGUCCUAUUUUGUUGGUUUCUAGGGCUAAGAUAAUGAUUAAUAGGGACAAUUGGGGGCAUUCGUAUUAACGCGUCAGAGGUGGAAUUCUUGGAUUGCGUUACGACGAACUACUGCGAAAGCAUUUGCCAAGGAUGUUUUCAUUGA